UGGGGAAUUUUGGACAAUGGGCGAAAGCCUGAUCCAGCAAUGCCGCGUGUGUGAAGAAGGCCUUCGGGUUGUAAAGCACUUUUGUCCGGAAAGAAAUCCUUGGCUCUAAUACAGUCGGGGGAUACGGUACCGGAAGAAUAAGCACCGGCUAACUACGUGCCAGCAGCCGCGGUAAUACGUAGGGUGCAAGCGUUAAUCGGAAUUACUGGGCGUAAAGCGUGCGCAGGCGGUUUGCUAAGACCGAUGUGAAAUCCCCGGGCUCAACCUGGGAACUGCAUUGGUGACUGGCAGGCUAGAGUAUGGCAGAGGGGGGUAGAAUUCCACGUGUGAGCAGUGAAAUGCGUAGAGAUGUGGAGGAAUACCGAUGGCGAAGGCAGCCCCCUGGGCCAAUACUGACGCUCAUGCACGAAAGCGUGGGGAGCAAACAGGAUU
This 432-nucleotide ribosomal RNA is filed under the name uncultured bacterium. RNAcentral's name for it is "partial 16S ribosomal RNA". It matches the Rfam family "Bacterial small subunit ribosomal RNA", at positions 355 to 779 of the family's 1533-position model. The record is from RNAcentral.